GUCAGUAGAGUGGCUGACUAGUGUUGACUGCCACUGACAUGUUUGAGUGACGCAUAUACAUGUACAUGAUAGACUAAAUGGGUCACCAAGCAGAACGUGCUUAUCCUUUAAGAUGUGAACAAGACGGUAAUGUUAAAGACUGCCAAGAGCAACAAUGUGACCCCAUGUAAGCAGCUCAUGGACAUUGAUCCUGAGGUGUCGCCUUGUCAGUUUGCAAAGGGUUUCACAUACACACUGAGAUGGAAAUGGCGAAGGAAACUUACAUCUAUAUGGCGCCGGCUGCACGUGCAGGGAGCGUGGUGCGGGACUUUGGGGCAGUUAAGACAACUCUGUUGGUGGUCUUCUUACCCCUGGUGCUUUUACCGCUACCCAUACUCUCAGACUCUACGGAGGCAAAAUGUGCCUAUGGUCUUGUCCUAAUGGCAGUGUUUUGGAUCACGGAAUGCAUUCCCCUUCCGGUGACCGCUCUUCUCCCUGUGGUUGUCUUCCCUUUAUUCGGGGUCAUGAAGGCAUCUGACGUUGCCGGGAACUACAUCAAGCAAGCAACAAUGUUUAUAAUUGGGGGUCUUACACUGGCCAUUGCCAUCGAGAAUUGUCAACUCCACAAGAGGAUCGCAUUGAAGACACUCACCUUAUUUGGGGUUCAACCAAGAUGGUUGAUGCUUGGUUUCAUGCUGCCGACGUGGUUUCUGUCUUUGUGGAUCAGCAACAUCGCCACCACCGCCAUGAUGAUCCCGAUCGUCAAUGCUGUCCUGGACGAACUUCGGAAGAUCAAAUACAAGUCAAAUGAAGAAAUGUUGAAAGGAGAGAUCGAGCUAAAGCCAGGUGAGAAGCAACAGAGAUUAAACCUGCCGUUGAAGUAUGAGACAAGCAGCAGCAGCCAAAGGAGUGACGCUGACGUGAUUGGCACAGAUGAAGAGAAAGAUGACACAACACUCAGAGAGAACAAUGUAACCGCGGCCUCUCCUCCAGGGUUUGACCCGUCCGAUAGAAGCCGUGACACCAUGGAGUUUACCCGUCUUUGUAAGGGCUUCUGUCUGUGCAUUGCUUACUCAGCCAAUAUUGGCGGCAUCGGGACACUGGCGGGUUCAGCACCAAACGUCAUCAUGCAGGUUCAAGCAGACAUAAUCUUUAACACGUAUGGACUUGAGUCGGGAGUGAACUUUGUAAAUUGGAUGGUAUUCGCCCUGCCUGUGUCGUUGCUGUGUAUCAUGUUGGCGUGGAUGUGGCUACAGACGCUGUUCCUUGGGAAGUCAUCUCUUCUGUGCUGCACAGCUAAGCCACGUGAUGGGAACGAGGCAGUUGGGUACCAGAUCAGACGGGAGUAUGAGAAACUAGGCCGCAUGUCAUUUGCCGAAAAGGUUGUUCUCGUUCAUUUUGUCAUCCUGGUUCUUGCAUAUCUAACGAUGUCGAUACCCUACGUCGGUGGGUGGGGGCAGUUCUUCCCAAAGGGGUACAUUGGAAGUUCUGUGUCUGCCAUCUUGGUGGCCGUCAGUCUUUUCGUCUUUCCGUCUAAACGUCCUUCUGUCUUCUGUUGGCGGAGAUCAGGUGAAGCCUCACGAUCCGUACCCUCACUACUGACCUGGAAAACAGUGGAGAGGGGGAUGCCCUGGGGUGUUCUGCUGCUGAUAGGUGGAGGGACUGCGCUCGCUGAUGCAUCUCAGGUAAACAGAAAUCAGGGCUGUCCCAGUGGAUUUGCAACCAGCUGACGGUGUUCAGUUCCCUUGACCCCAGCAUCACGAGCUUGCUGUUGUCUUUGCUCGUCGCAGCGGUUACCGAGGUGACCACCAACAUAGCCACCGUUACAUUGUUCCUGCCAAUCCUGGGAAACCUGGCCCUUUCUUUGAACGUGAACCCCUUGUGUCUCAUGUUUCCCUGCGCUGUCGCAGCCUCCUUCGCCUUCAUGUUGC
This 1910-nucleotide unclassified non-coding RNA is filed under the name Haliotis rufescens (red abalone). Its description in RNAcentral is "solute carrier family 13 member 2-like, transcript variant X2". The record is from RNAcentral. Lineage: Eukaryota; Metazoa; Mollusca; Gastropoda; Lepetellida; Haliotidae.